This 486-nucleotide ribosomal RNA is filed under the name uncultured Bacillus sp. RNAcentral's name for it is "bacterial SSU rRNA". It matches the Rfam family "Bacterial small subunit ribosomal RNA", at positions 167 to 650 of the family's 1533-position model. Lineage: Bacteria; Bacillati; Bacillota; Bacilli; Caryophanales; Bacillaceae. The record is from RNAcentral.
UACCAGAUACAAUCAAAGACCGCCUGGUCUUUGAUGGAAAGGUCUUCUACCGCUUACAGAUGGGCCCGCGGCGCAUUAGCUAGUUGGUGGGGUACGGCCUACCAAGGCGACGAUGCGUAGCCGACCUGAGAGGGUGAUCGGCCACACUGGGACUGAGACACGGCCCAGACUCCUACGGGAGGCAGCAGUAGGGAAUCUUCCGCAAUGGACGAAAGUCUGACGGAGCAACGCCGCGUGAGUGAUGAAGGCUUUCGGGUCGUAAAACUCUGUUGUCAGGGAAGAACAUCCGGGAUCACCUCCCGGUCUGACGGUACCUGAUCAGAAAGCCCCGGCUAACUACGUGCCAGCAGCCGCGGUAAUACGUAGGGGGCAAGCGUUGUCCGGAAUUAUUGGGCGUAAAGCGCGCGCAGGCGGUUUCUUAAGUCUGGUGUGAAAGCCCGCAGCUCAACUGCGGAGGGCCACUGGAAACUGGGAAGCUUUGAGUGU